RNAcentral lists this unclassified non-coding RNA (334 nucleotides) under soil metagenome. RNAcentral's name for it is "partial contains 5.8S ribosomal RNA, internal transcribed spacer 2, and large subunit ribosomal RNA". The stretch from base 1 to 120 matches the Rfam family "5.8S ribosomal RNA", at positions 35 to 154 of the family's 154-position model. The record is from RNAcentral.
GAUGAAGAACGUAGCGAAAUGCGAUAAGUAAUGUGAAUUGCAGAAUUCAGUAAAUCAUCGAAUCUUUGAACGCACAUUGCGCCCGCCAGUAUUCUGGCGGGCAUGCCUGUUCGAGCGUCAUUUCAACCAUCAAGCCCUGCUUGCGUUGGGGUCCUGCGGCUGCCCGCAGGCCCUGAAAACCAGUGGCGGGCUCGCUAGUCACACCGAGCGCAGUAAUACAUCUCGCUUUGGGCGUGCGGCGGGUUCUUGCCGUUAAACACCCCCUUUUUACCAAGGUUGACCUCGGAUCAGGUAGGAAUACCCGCUGAACUUAAGCAUAUCAAUAAGCGGAGGA